Molecule: ribosomal RNA, 462 nt
Filed under: uncultured bacterium
Lineage: Bacteria
Description: partial 16S ribosomal RNA
Rfam family: Bacterial small subunit ribosomal RNA
Source: RNAcentral
GACGAACGCUGGCGGCGUGCUUAACACAUGCAAGUCGAACGGAAAGGCCCUUCGGGGUACUCGAGUGGCGAACGGGUGAGUAACACGUGGGUGAUCUGCCCUGCACUUUGGGAUAAGCCUGGGAAACUGGGUCUAAUACCGGAUAGGACCACGGCAUUCAUUUGCUGUGGUGGAAAGCUUUUGCGGUGUGGGAUGGGCCCGCGGCCUAUCAGCUUGUUGUUGGGGUAAUGGCCUACAAAGGCGACGACGGGUAGCCGGCCUGAGAGGGUGACCGGCCACACUGGGACUGAGAUACGGCCCAGACUCCUACGGGAGGCAGCAGUGGGGAAUAUUGCACAAUGGGCGCAAGCCGGAUGCAGCGACGCCGCGUGAGGGAUGACGGCCUUCGGGUUGUAAACCUCUUUCGCCAGGGACGAAGCGCAAGUGACGGUACCUGGAGAAGAAGGACCGGCCAACUACGUG